This is a non-coding RNA of Pelobates cultripes (western spadefoot toad), 578 nucleotides long. The record is from the annotation of a GenBank genome assembly. NCBI's taxonomy places the organism in Eukaryota, Metazoa, Chordata, Amphibia, Anura, Pelobatidae.
AAUCCAUUAUGGGAAAGUGAUAGGGCUAUUGCCUAUAAUUACCAGGAAUUCCUUGCAGAAUUUAAAUUAACAUUUGAACCAUUAAGAAGGGAGGAUGACACUUCCACUGCCCUAAUGUGUAUCAAACAAGUGAACUGGUCUGUCUCAGAUUAUGCCAUAUAAUUCUGCACCCUAGCUUCUGAGAUAGACUGGACUAAACUACCUUGUGGGCUUUUACACCUGCAUCCUAUACCCAGUAGUCCAUGGUCCCAUUUGUCUAUGGACUUUAUCAUGGAACUACCUAUUUCUAAAGGUUACAACACCAUCCUGAUGGUUGUUGACCGCUUUUCUAAAUUUGUUCCGCUUAAAAAGAUUCCCUCUUCCCAAGAGCUGGCCCACAUAUUUAUACGCGAAAUAGUCAGAUUGCAUGGAAUUCUUCUUAAUAUUGUGUCAGAUAGGGGUACCCAGUUUGUGUCACGAUUUUGGAGAGCAUUUAACAAAUAGUUUGGUAUUGAACUAUCUUUUUCAUCAUCUUACCAUCCCCAAACCAAUGGAGUGGCUGAGAGAGUCAAUCAAUCAUUGGAACAAUAUUUGAGAUG